GGCCUUAUAAUGUAAUAGUAACAUCCUUAGUUCUAAAUUAAGAGGUUAUAGGUUUAACCCCUACUAAGGCCC
Molecule: transfer RNA, 72 nt
Filed under: Pseudogymnoascus sp. 23342-1-I1
Lineage: Eukaryota; Fungi; Ascomycota; Leotiomycetes; Thelebolales; Thelebolaceae
Rfam family: tRNA
About the family: Transfer RNA (tRNA) molecules are approximately 80 nucleotides in length. Their secondary structure includes four short double-helical elements and three loops (D, anti-codon, and T loops).
Source: Rfam by way of RNAcentral